RNAcentral lists this long non-coding RNA (2003 nucleotides) under Sorghum bicolor (sorghum). RNAcentral describes it as "long non-coding RNA (SBIC_LNC004659)". The record is from RNAcentral. Lineage: Eukaryota; Viridiplantae; Streptophyta; Magnoliopsida; Poales; Poaceae.
CACUCCCACUGGCAAACUACGCGGCACGGCGGUGGUGACAGACACGACGGUGACGGACGCGGCGGUGACGGUGAUUACAGCGGCGGCGGCUGCGUCGACACUGAAGAUGGUAAGCCUAAAGCGUCGGCACAACUCUCGGACCUAAAGCGCGGAACGCGCGUGGUCAGUUUGCCCCUAAGCAGAUUGUCAUCGUCAUCUACUCCGACUCGUCCUCUGACUCGGACUCCGACCCCGUCUUCAACCUCAAGCCGGCGACAAAGACAACCACGGAGAAGAAGAUGGUAAGAUUAAAUCAUGAGUACCAUUUUUGGGAUUAAGGGUUACAAACUAGAAACAAAGAUGCGGUCGUUGCCGCGCCUGCCCCCAAGCAUGUCUCCUAGGUUCGGGCCAGUAUUGGAAAUUUGCAAUGGAUAAUAAUCUCUUCCAUAUGUUUCAAUUCAUCAGACUACCUAUGGUGUGCAUGUUUCAUAUGUCUCUGCAUCUGCUAUAAGAUACACAGGGAUUUCUUUACUAUUUUUAGAUGCUCUAAGAUAAGGGUUUGUCCACUUUUUAAUGAUCCAAUUAAUCAUAUCGAGAAAUCAUUUGAAGAUUUUGUGCUUGCAGAAGAUAUGGAGCAGAAUUUUAUAAUGAUAUUAAAGCAGGCAUAGGUACUAGUGUAUAUGGCAUACAUCCAAUAUGUAAUGGCAAGGAUUCCUCAAACGCACUGCAUGAACAAACAGAUCAGACAUAUUCUAGCUACUUGAUUUCACAAUAAUGCUAUAUUUUUGGUCUGUAUCUUCAUAUCUCAAAGCAUGUCUUAUUUUUUUGGUCUAUAUCUUCAGUGCCUAGUUGCUUGCCUAAUGAUGAGUCUAGAGUACAUGAAAAUCUUUGAUGAGCAUAGGGAAUAUGGUAGUAUUAAUUGAGGCCAUGCUUAUUAAUUCUAAUUUUUAUGUAGUUAUAUCCAUGCUUCAAGAAAAUAACAUGUAUUGACCAUUAUUCAUCGUAGCUUGUGGAACUUGUAUGAUGCCUUACUACAUCAGUAGGAGUAUGCAGUUCCUGCAUCGCCAGUCAAAGUUUGUGAAAAGUUUGCCUUGAAAUUCAAAAGACUUGCUAACUCAUAUGGUCCACAAUCGGACUACUUGUGUAGAAAGGAAUCAGAGAAUAAAAAAUUCUAUAUGCAAAUUACUAGGUCGAGGGUACUAGCAUAUAUUCUGUAGAUCAAGCAUUAGAAAUUUAUCAGCUACGCUGUGUCUGCAAGAUCAGAAACAUAUUUCUAAUCCUUUGAAUAUCAGUGAGCUGAUCAAGCAUAUGCUGUGUCUGCAAAAUCAGAAAUUUCUUUGAUCUGGAUUACAAAUAUAUAAAUACUAUAUCAUUCAUGUGCCUGCAUAUAUUCAAAUCAACACAUACCAUAGAUUUGGAAAUUAAUUUCAGCCAUUAAUUUCAAUUUGUAAUUUAGCAUUUUUAGUUUGAAGUUGCAUGUGGUUGUUAAUAAAUAAUUUUGGUCCACCAGAUCACCACAGGAGAAGCAUCCAGGGCCAAAAGGGCCUCUUCCAAUAACUACAAUAAGGUAGCGGUUUCCGGUCUACAGUGUGCCAAAGGGGUGUUAACAUUUUGUUCACAUUGCACUCUAUUCUUUUGCUGCAACAAAAUUCAAUUGCCAUGUAGGCUAAUAUUAAUUGUGGUCUAUUCACUAAUUUGUGUCCAUCAGACCAGCGGGAAAUUAUCCACAUUAGCAGUGUCUGGGGCCAAAAGAGCAUCCUCUACUGCCAAUAAGGCCCCGGUGUCUGCUAUCAAGCGUGCCAAAGGGGGGCCUACUUUCUCUAAGAAGAUGGUAAGAUUUCUUCUUGUACAAUCUCAUUUUUGUGACAUAAACAUAAGUGAUCAUUGGAAUGAAGAACUGCUUUGUUCACAAAUAUAAGUGCAUUUUUAUUUGUAGGUUCCCAAUUAUGAUCCGUAUGAGGAUGACAGUGGUGACGACUAUUCCACCACUUGUUCCUUCACUGAUGACAGUGAUGUGGAACCCU